This 274-nucleotide ribosomal RNA is filed under the name uncultured bacterium. RNAcentral's name for it is "partial 16S ribosomal RNA". It matches the Rfam family "Bacterial small subunit ribosomal RNA", at positions 523 to 796 of the family's 1533-position model. The record is from RNAcentral.
AUACGGGGGGGGCAAGCGUUAUUCGGAAUUAUUGGGCGUAAAGGGUGUGUAGACGGUGUAUCAAGUCCACUGAUAAAUUUUUCGGCUUAACCGAAAGCCUGCGGUGGAAACUGGUGUACUAGAGGGUGAGAGAGAGAAGUGGAAUUCCCGGAGUAGCGGUAAAAUGCGUGGAUCUCGGGAGGAACACCGAUGGCGAAGGCAGCUUCUUGGCUCAUUCCAGACGUUGAGACACGAAAGCGUGGGGAGCAAACAGGAUUAGAUACCCCGGUAGUCC